CCUACGGGAGGCAGCAGUAGGGAAUUUUCGUCAAUGGGCGCAAGCCUGAACGAGCGAUGCCGCGUGAGUGAAGAAGGCCUUCGGGUCGUAAAGCUCUGUUGCGGGGGAAAAAAGUCAGCAUCAGGAAAUGGGUGCUGACUGAUGGUGCCCCGCCAGAAAGUCCCGGCUAACUACGUGCCAGCAGCCGCGGUAAUACGUAGGGGGCGAGCGUUAGCCGGAAUGAGUGGGAGUAAAGGGGGCGCAGGCGGGCCUGCAAGUCUGGAGUGAAACGCAUGAGCUCAACUCAUGCAUGGCUUUGGAAACUGGAGGACUGGAGAGCAGGAGAGGGCGGUGGAACUCCAUGUGUAGCGGUAAAAUGCGUAGAUAUAUGGAAGAACACCAGUGGCGAAGGCGGCCGCCUGGCCUGUAACUGACGCUGAUGCUCGAAAGCGCGGGUAUCGAACAGGAUUAGAUACCCUAGUAGUC
RNAcentral lists this ribosomal RNA (465 nucleotides) under uncultured bacterium. RNAcentral describes it as "partial 16S ribosomal RNA". It matches the Rfam family "Bacterial small subunit ribosomal RNA", at positions 338 to 795 of the family's 1533-position model. The record is from RNAcentral.